This 65-nucleotide transfer RNA is filed under the name Orcula dolium. RNAcentral's name for it is "tRNA-Tyr". Lineage: Eukaryota; Metazoa; Mollusca; Gastropoda; Stylommatophora; Orculidae. The record is from RNAcentral.
UUUUUUGGAUUCUAACUAACUAGAGGUAGUUUGUAAAGCUACUUAGGGAGACAUCCCCAAAUAAU